This 260-nucleotide unclassified non-coding RNA is filed under the name air metagenome. Its description in RNAcentral is "partial contains small subunit ribosomal RNA, internal transcribed spacer 1, and 5.8S ribosomal RNA". The stretch from base 1 to 46 matches the Rfam family "Eukaryotic small subunit ribosomal RNA", at positions 1786 to 1831 of the family's 1831-position model. The record is from RNAcentral.
AAGUCGUAACAAGGUUUCCGUAGGUGAACCUGCGGAAGGAUCAUUACCGAGUGAGGGCCCUCUGGGUCCAACCUCCCACCCGUGUCUAUCGUACCUUGUUGCUUCGGCGGGCCCGCCGUUUCGACGGCCGCCGGGGAGGCCCUGCGCCCCCGGGCCCGCGCCCGCCGAAGACCCCAACAUGAACGCUGUUCUGAAAGUAUGCAGUCUGAGUUGAUUAUCGUAAUCAGUUAAAACUUUCAACAACGGAUCUCUUGGUUCCG